Trachemys scripta elegans is the source of this 1463-nucleotide long non-coding RNA. RefSeq lists it as uncharacterized. Lineage: Eukaryota; Metazoa; Chordata; Testudines; Emydidae. The record is from RefSeq and is a predicted model, not a curated record. The transcript is spliced from 3 exons.
UGCAUGUAUCAUUUUUGUAUCUGAAGUUAGGAAUAUUGACUAUGCAUCUAUAUUACAAAUGUGUUUAUACAUGGGGAACACCCACUAGACAAAAGGCUCUCAGAUGGUUGGCUAGGAAGGACCCAUUCAGGUUAAUGAGCCAUUAGGAGAAAACAAUAGGCCUUAGAAGGUGAGCCUUCCUGAGGAUGCUACAGAAAGCCUCCAAGUUAUGGCUGCUGUGACACUAGAGGGACAUGUGACCAGAACUCCAGCAUGGGAGAUCAAUAUUUUUCCAGUGGCUGGCUUGGGAACCAAGCUUUGAAACAAAGGGUAUAUCUACACUGCAAAGUUAUCAACAAAACUUUUGUCUUUCAUGGGUACUAAAAAAAAAAAAAAAAAGCAGCCCCCCUACCCCCAUGAAAGACAAAAGGUCUGCCAAUGCAAGUGGCAGUGUGAACAUGGCUUUGUGGGUAGGAGCACUCUCCUGCGGACAAAGCUAAUGCCACUUACGGAGCUGGAAGUAUUUUGUCAGCAAAAGUACCAACAAAGAGCCUUUACAUACGCUGACUUUUAGCGACAAGGCUGUAUCAACGCAGCCUUGUCGCUAAAACCUGCAUGGUGUAGACAAGCCCAAAGGGUUCCUGCCACAUGCAAAAGCUAUUGAAGGCAGGGGAGUGACAUCAUUGUGGUUCUUCUCUGACUCCCCACCCAAAGACUCCUGGAAACACUUGAGGAACAAAGACUCAACUGGGGGAAGUGCUGGACCCAAGCUAAAGUGUCACCUGGUGACUCCAAACUGUACAACAUAGCCAAUAGAAGAAUAGACUUCCACACAGGACCUUGGCAAUGUGCCUCUUUUGUGUACACAUACCUAGUGUAAUUGCCUCUUAGAAACUGAUUAUUUUCUUGCUCUAUGUCCACUCAAUGCACAGAUGAUCUUGGGAGCACAGCCUUCCUCUUUGUUAUUGGCGGCAGAAUGGCUGCGCAGAAUUAGAAAGCGGCCAAGAUGAACUAAGGAGGACUUCAUGCGUGAGAUUAUGAUGCACUCAGCCACUGAGAAAAAAGAAUUGAAGGAGUGGUGGGACAGCGAGAAGAGGGACCAAAAGGAGAACGCGGAACACCAGAAAGAAGCCACGGAGCGGCUCUUAAGAAGUUAUGGAGCACCAAGCGGACAUGCUCCAGGCGAUACUAGCUCUUCAAACUAAGCAGCUCUGCGCCCGCCCUCCCCUGAAGCUGCUGUCGCAAAACUCUUUCCCAUGCGCUCCCCACACAUCGCCAAUACACUGAUAUCAACCUCCUGGCUCCACACUCUACCCGCAGCUCCACUCCUCCCUCCUCACAGUCCAGCAGUGUGGACUCCCACUACCCACUGCACUCAAAACCCAUCCCUCUGCAGUUUGGCCUUGCUGAAGUACCCGCUGCAUUGUAUUCCAAAGGAGAAGGUUGGGUAUGAUCCUUCGACGUACACAAAUCUGUAGCCAUCC